Molecule: unclassified non-coding RNA, 160 nt
Filed under: uncultured fungus
Lineage: Eukaryota; Fungi
Description: partial contains 18S rRNA, ITS1, 5.8S rRNA, ITS2 and 28S rRNA
Source: RNAcentral
AGGGAUCAUUAACGAACGGCCCAUUGGGCCUUUCAACCCACACACCCGUGGAAAAACAAAUGUGCUUUGGCUUUUUAUAGCCAUAUUCAUGCGUUUUGACAAAUGUUGUCUGAAUUAAAUUUAAAUUGAAAAACUUUCAACAAAGGAUCUCUUGGCUCUC